RNAcentral lists this ribosomal RNA (253 nucleotides) under uncultured bacterium. RNAcentral's name for it is "partial 16S ribosomal RNA". It matches the Rfam family "Bacterial small subunit ribosomal RNA", at positions 524 to 776 of the family's 1533-position model. The record is from RNAcentral.
UACGUAGGAUGCAAGCGUUGUCCGGAAUUAUUGGGCGUAAAGAGAACGUAGGCGGCCUGUUAAGUUUGGUCUUAAAGACCGGGGCUCAACCCCGGGACUGGAUCGAAAACUGGCAGGCUCGAGGAUGUCAGAGGAAAGUGGAAUUCCGAGUGUAGCGGUGAAAUGCGUAGAUAUUCGGAGGAACACCAGUGGCGAAAGCGACUUUCUGGGGCAUUCCUGACGCUGAGGUUCGAAAGCUCGGGGAGCAAACAGG